AACGAACGCUGGCGGCAUGCCUAACACAUGCCAGUCGAACGAGACCUUCGGGUCUAGUGGCGCACGGGUGCGUAACGCGUGGGAACCUGCCCUUAGGUUCGGAAUAACUCCCCGAAAGGGGUGCUAAUACCGGAUAAUGUCUUCGGACCAAAGAUUUAUCGCCUUUGGAUGGGCCCGCGUUGGAUUAGCUAGUUGGUAGGGUAAAAGCCUACCGAGGCGACGAUCCAUAGCUGGUCUGAGAGGAUGAUCAGCCACACUGGGACUGAGACACGGCCCAGACUCCUACGGGAGGCAGCAGUGGGGAAUAUUGGACAAUGGGCGAAAGCCUGAUCCAGCAAUGCCGCGUGAGUGAUGAAGGCCUUAGGGUUGUAAAGCUCUUUUACCCGGGAUGAUAAUGACAGUACCGGGAGAAUAAGCGCCGGCUAACUCCGUG
RNAcentral lists this ribosomal RNA (433 nucleotides) under uncultured bacterium. RNAcentral's name for it is "partial 16S ribosomal RNA". It matches the Rfam family "Bacterial small subunit ribosomal RNA", at positions 29 to 507 of the family's 1533-position model. The record is from RNAcentral.